This 523-nucleotide ribosomal RNA is filed under the name uncultured bacterium. RNAcentral's name for it is "bacterial SSU rRNA". It matches the Rfam family "Bacterial small subunit ribosomal RNA", at positions 8 to 526 of the family's 1533-position model. The record is from RNAcentral.
AGAGUUUGAUCAUGGCUCAGAUUGAACGCUGGCGGCAUGCCUUACACAUGCAAGUCGAACGGCAGCACGGGGGCAACCCUGGUGGCGAGUGGCGGACGGGUGAGGAAUGCAUCGGAAUCUGCCCAGUCGUGGGGGAUAACGUAGGGAAACUUACGCUAAUACCGCAUACGACCUGAGGGUGAAAGUGGGGGACCGCAAGGCCUCACGCGAUUGGAGGAGCCGAUGCCGGAUUAGCUAGUUGGCGGGGUAAGAGCCCACCAAGGCGACGAUCCGUAGCUGGUCUGAGAGGAUGAUCAGCCACACUGGAACUGAGACACGGUCCAGACUCCUACGGGAGGCAGCAGUGGGGAAUAUUGGACAAUGGGCGCAAGCCUGAUCCAGCAAUGCCGCGUGGGUGAAGAAGGCCUUCGGGUUGUAAAGCCCUUUUGUACGGGAAGAAAAGCUCCGGGCUAAUACUCUGGGGUCAUGACGGUACCGUAAGAAUAAGCACCGGCUAACUUCGUGCCAGCAGCCGCGGUAAUAC